Molecule: long non-coding RNA, 148 nt
Organism: Etheostoma cragini (Arkansas darter)
Lineage: Eukaryota; Metazoa; Chordata; Actinopteri; Perciformes; Percidae
Exons: 4
Source: RefSeq, a predicted model, not a curated record
AACUACUUAUUUAGAAAGAAGCAAAAUGCCACUAAAAAUUGCAUUUCCUGGAGGAAAUGCGUGGGAAUGCUGAACAGCUGAAUUGCUAAAGCUAAACUUGAUAAAUAGUUUAAAUCCAUGAGAAGAAAUUGAAAUAUGGAGAAUACUU